This 495-nucleotide ribosomal RNA is filed under the name uncultured Dechloromonas sp. Its description in RNAcentral is "bacterial SSU rRNA". It matches the Rfam family "Bacterial small subunit ribosomal RNA", at positions 888 to 1382 of the family's 1533-position model. The record is from RNAcentral. Lineage: Bacteria; Pseudomonadati; Pseudomonadota; Betaproteobacteria; Rhodocyclales; Azonexaceae.
CCCGCUCAGAAACUUAAAGGAAUUGACGGGGACCCGCACAAGCGGUGGAUGAUGUGGUUUAAUUCGAUGCAACGCGAAAAACCUUACCCACCUUUGACAUGGCAGGAAGUUUCCAGAGAUGGAUUCGUGCUCGAAAGAGAACCUGCACACAGGUGCUGCAUGGCUGUCGUCAGCUCGUGUCGUGAGAUGUAGGGUUAAGUCCCGCAACGAGCGCAACCCUUGUCUUUAAUUGCCAUCAUUGAGUUGGGCACUUUAAAGAGACUGCCGGUGUUAAACCGGAGGAAGGUGGGGAUGACGUCAAGUCCUCAUGGCCUUUAUGCCCAGGGCUACACACGUGCUACAAUGGGUGGUACAAAGAGCAGCCAGCUCGCGAGAGGGAGCUAAUCCCAUAAAGCCAGUCGUAGUCCGGACCGCAGUCUGCAACUCGACUGCGUGAAGUCGGAAUCGCUAGUAAUCGUGGAUCAGAAUGUCACGGUGAAUACGUUCCCGGGUCUU